RNAcentral lists this ribosomal RNA (200 nucleotides) under uncultured bacterium. RNAcentral's name for it is "partial 16S ribosomal RNA". It matches the Rfam family "Bacterial small subunit ribosomal RNA", at positions 30 to 228 of the family's 1533-position model. The record is from RNAcentral.
AUUGAACGCUGGCGGAAUGCUUUACACAUGCAAGUCGAACGGCAGCACGGGAGCUUGCUCCUGGUGGCGAGUGGCGAACGGGUGAGUAAUAUAUCGGAACGUGCCUUGUAAUGGGGGAUAACUAGUCGAAAGAUUAGCUAAUACCGCAUACGCCCUGAGGGGGAAAGCUAGGGAUCUUCGGACCUGGCGUUGAUGGAGCG